RNAcentral lists this ribosomal RNA (515 nucleotides) under uncultured bacterium. Its description in RNAcentral is "partial 16S ribosomal RNA". It matches the Rfam family "Bacterial small subunit ribosomal RNA", at positions 29 to 523 of the family's 1533-position model. The record is from RNAcentral.
AGCGAACGCUGGCGGCGUGCCUAACACAUGCAAGUCGAACGUGAAAAGGGGCAACCCUUAGUAAAGUGGCGUACGGGUGAGUAACACGUGGGUAAUCUACCCUAAAGUCUGGAAUAACCUGCCGAAAGGCGGGCUAAUACUGGAUAGAGCGAUGAAAGUCAUAAAGACUUUUUCGGGAACGGAAGGGAGCAAUCUCCUUUGCUUUAGGAUGAGCCUGCGUCCCAUCAGCUAGUUGGUAGGGUAAUGGCCUACCAAGGCUAUGACGGGUAGCUGGUCUGAGAGGAUGAUCAGCCACACUGGAACUGAAACACGGUCCAAACUCCUACGGGAGGCAGCAGUGGGGAAUCUUGCGAAAUGGAGGAAACUCUGACGCAGCCACGCCGCGUGAGUGAAGAAGGCCUUCGGGUUGUAAAGCCCUGUCACACGGGACGAAAACCCGGUGGGUUAAUAGCCCAUCGGACUGACGGUACCGUGGAAGGAAGCACCGGCUAACUCCGUGCCAGCCGCCGCAGUAA